Molecule: long non-coding RNA, 668 nt
Filed under: Anser brachyrhynchus (Pink-footed goose)
Lineage: Eukaryota; Metazoa; Chordata; Aves; Anseriformes; Anatidae
Description: lncRNA (ENSABRG00000000107.1)
Source: RNAcentral
UGAAAUCAGCCACCUGUCAAUCUGGAAAGCGUUUUCAUUGGUACAGAAGCUCUUAAUGAGAUAUGGCCUAAUAAUCAGUGGCUAUUAAUUACAAAGGUUACAGGCAUUACCACUUACACGAGAGGAACAACCCAGCCAACUAUCCAAGUGUUGUAUAAAAACAAACAGUCACCAAGUCCUUGACUUCUCACUCAGCUGGGCAGACUUUAUAGCUGCAGUCUUGGACUUCCAAGGCUCUGCUGCUGCCCUCCUUGUUUGCCUUCAUCUUCCCCCCUUCCAUCUGAGGGGAGGCAGUGCCAUGUUAUUUGGGUGUUAUCCACGGCCUGCAGCCGGGCGGGCAGGAGGCAGGGUGUCCACAGCUGAGCAAACAACUGCCAGGCUGCUCCCCAUGGCGUCCCGUGCGGCGGAAGAGGAAGCGCUGUCAAUCACUGCGCACAUGUGUACAGUGGGGAGCUGCCGAGGUUGUGAUGGGCGCACGUCAAUUGUCUUGGACUGCCAGAGUGAGCGAGGGUACUUCGUCCAGUGCAGAGGUGGCCAGGUGGGUUACCUGCAACAUCAGAGUGGGCAUGCAGAUGAAAAAUUCCAAAGUGACCAUCUGAAAGUGAAUGUUUUCACAGCAACCAACACCUUUACAAAUGACUUCAAAGUAGUCUGUUUCCUUUACAAAG